Molecule: ribosomal RNA, 253 nt
Filed under: uncultured prokaryote
Description: partial 16S ribosomal RNA
Rfam family: Bacterial small subunit ribosomal RNA
Source: RNAcentral
UACGAAGGGUGCAAGCGUUGUCCGGAAUCAUUGGGUGUAAAGGGUGUGUAGGCGGGACCGUAAGUCAGAGGUGAAAGCCCACAGCUUAACUGUGGAACUGCCCCUGAUACUGCGGACCUUGAGUCUUGGAGAGGUCACUAGAAUUCGUGGUGUAGCGGUGAAAUGCGUAGAUAUCACGAGGAAUACCAGAGGCGUAGGCGGGUGACUGGACAAGAACUGACGCUGAGGCACGAAAGCGUGGGGAGCAAACAGG